Molecule: ribosomal RNA, 253 nt
Filed under: uncultured bacterium
Lineage: Bacteria
Description: partial 16S ribosomal RNA
Rfam family: Bacterial small subunit ribosomal RNA
Source: RNAcentral
UACGUAGGGUGCAAGCGUUAAUCGGAAUUACUGGGCGUAAAGCGUGCGCAGGCGGUUAUGCAAGACAGAUGUGAAAUCCCCGGGCUUAACCUGGGAACCGCAUUUGUGACUGCAUAGCUGGAGUACGGCAGAGGGGGAUGGAAUUCCGCGUGUAGCAGUGAAAUGCGUAGAUAUGCGGAGGAACACCGAUGGCGAAGGCAAUCCCCUGGACCUGUACUGACGCUCAUGCACGAAAGCGUGGGGAGCAAACAGG